Molecule: long non-coding RNA, 385 nt
Organism: Pygocentrus nattereri (red-bellied piranha)
Lineage: Eukaryota; Metazoa; Chordata; Actinopteri; Characiformes; Serrasalmidae
Source: Ensembl
CCUCUUUGUCUUUCAGUGAGACGGACCCGCUCUCCUCUCCUCUUUCCGCCUCCGCCUGGAAACGAGCUCAGAAAGAGGGGAGCUGCGGUCACUGCAGAGGCACCACCUGCCUGAUCAGAUCAGUCUGUUCGUUUCGGGUCAGGAGGGGGUGGAAGUCUCUGGGUGAGUCCUGGACUGUCUGUGUGUACUGACCGCUCUGUAUUCGGGGUCUCGGACCCCUUUCAGCAGAGUUGGUUGCCGCGUUUCUUUCAUGGCCAGAUUAUACCAGUAGAUUAUGACUGACCUCCAUUCCUGAAACACUACAAAACUGGCUGGACUCCGGCGGUUCAUUCAGGUGGGCAGCGAGGCCGAGAGCCGGUCCAGCUCUCUGUUCAAAGCACUUCAC